This 1554-nucleotide ribosomal RNA is filed under the name Escherichia coli. Its description in RNAcentral is "bacterial SSU rRNA". It matches the Rfam family "Bacterial small subunit ribosomal RNA". Lineage: Bacteria; Pseudomonadati; Pseudomonadota; Gammaproteobacteria; Enterobacterales; Enterobacteriaceae. The record is from RNAcentral.
AAAUUGAAGAGUUUGAUCAUGGCUCAGAUUGAACGCUGGCGGCAGGCCUAACACAUGCAAGUCGAACGGUAACAGGAAGCAGCUUGCUGCUUUGCUGACGAGUGGCGGACGGGUGAGUAAUGUCUGGGAAACUGCCUGAUGGAGGGGGAUAACUACUGGAAACGGUAGCUAAUACCGCAUAACGUCGCAAGACCAAAGAGGGGGACCUUCGGGCCUCUUGCCAUCGGAUGUGCCCAGAUGGGAUUAGCUAGUAGGUGGGGUAACGGCUCACCUAGGCGACGAUCCCUAGCUGGUCUGAGAGGAUGACCAGCCACACUGGAACUGAGACACGGUCCAGACUCCUACGGGAGGCAGCAGUGGGGAAUAUUGCACAAUGGGCGCAAGCCUGAUGCAGCCAUGCCGCGUGUAUGAAGAAGGCCUUCGGGUUGUAAAGUACUUUCAGCGGGGAGGAAGGGAGUAAAGUUAAUACCUUUGCUCAUUGACGUUACCCGCAGAAGAAGCACCGGCUAACUCCGUGCCAGCAGCCGCGGUAAUACGGAGGGUGCAAGCGUUAAUCGGAAUUACUGGGCGUAAAGCGCACGCAGGCGGUUUGUUAAGUCAGAUGUGAAAUCCCCGGGCUCAACCUGGGAACUGCAUCUGAUACUGGCAAGCUUGAGUCUCGUAGAGGGGGGUAGAAUUCCAGGUGUAGCGGUGAAAUGCGUAGAGAUCUGGAGGAAUACCGGUGGCGAAGGCGGCCCCCUGGACGAAGACUGACGCUCAGGUGCGAAAGCGUGGGGAGCAAACAGGAUUAGAUACCCUGGUAGUCCACGCCGUAAACGAUGUCGACUUGGAGGUUGUGCCCUUGAGGCGUGGCUUCCGGAGCUAACGCGUUAAGUCGACCGCCUGGGGAGUACGGCCGCAAGGUUAAAACUCAAAUGAAUUGACGGGGGCCCGCACAAGCGGUGGAGCAUGUGGUUUAAUUCGAUGCAACGCGAAGAACCUUACCUGGUCUUGACAUCCACGGAAGUUUUCAGAGAUGGAUUGGUGCCUUCGGGAACCGUGAGACAGGUGCUGCAUGGCUGUCGUCAGCUCGUGUUGUGAAAUGUUGGGUUAAGUCCCGCAACGAGCGCAACCCUUAUCCUUUGUUGCCAGCGGUCCGGCCGGGAACUCAAAGGAGACUGCCAGUGAUAAACUGGAGGAAGGUGGGGAUGACGUCAAGUCAUCAUGGCCCUUACGACCAGGGCUACACACGUGCUACAAUGGCGCAUACAAAGAGAAGCGACCUCGCGAGAGCAAGCGGACCUCAUAAAGUGCGUCGUAGUCCGGAUUGGAGUCUGCAACUCGACUCCAUGAAGUCGGAAUCGCUAGUAAUCGUGGAUCAGAAUGCCACGGUGAAUACGUUCCCGGGCCUUGUACACACCGCCCGUCACACCAUGGGAGUGGGUUGCAAAAGAAGUAGGUAGCUUAACCUUCGGGAGGGCGCUUACCACUUUGUGAUUCAUGACUGGGGUGAAGUCGUAACAAGGUAACCGUAGGGGAACCUGCGGUUGGAUCACCUCCUUACCUUAAAGAAGC